Molecule: ribosomal RNA, 478 nt
Filed under: uncultured bacterium
Lineage: Bacteria
Description: partial 16S ribosomal RNA
Rfam family: Bacterial small subunit ribosomal RNA
Source: RNAcentral
GACGAACGCUGGCGGCGUGCUUAACACAUGCAAGUCGAACGGUAAGGCCCUUCGGGGUACACGAGUGGCGAACGGGUGAGUAACACGUGGGUGAUCUGCCCUGCACUUCGGGAUAAGCCUGGGAAACUGGGUCUAAUACCGGAUAGGACUCCGGACUGCAUGGUCUGGGGUGGAAAGCUUUUGCGGUGUGGGAUGGGCCCGCGGCCUAUCAGCUUGUUGGUGGGGUGAUGGCCUACCAAGGCGACGACGGGUAGCCGGCCUGAGAGGGUGACCGGCCACACUGGGACUGAGAUACGGCCCAGACUCCUACGGGAGGCAGCAGUGGGGAAUAUUGCACAAUGGGCGCAAGCCUGAUGCAGCGACGCCGCGUGAGGGAUAACGGCCUUCGGGUUGUAAACCUCUUUUAGUAGGGAAGAAGCGAAAGUGACGGUACCUGCAGAAAAAGCACCGGCUAACUACGUGCCAGCCGCCGCAGUAA